This 1863-nucleotide ribosomal RNA is filed under the name Triticum aestivum (bread wheat). RNAcentral's name for it is "partial small subunit ribosomal RNA". The record is from RNAcentral. Lineage: Eukaryota; Viridiplantae; Streptophyta; Magnoliopsida; Poales; Poaceae.
AUGGCCAGCCUCUGUGCCAAGGCCAGCGCCGGCCAUCUCCGCGUCUACGGCCCGGCGUUGUUUCACGAAGGCGCCCUGUCCAUGGAGGAGAGGGAGCAGGACACAUCACUCCUCCUCCUCAAGAUCGGGCACCACCGCGACGAAGCCGUCAAGCUGCUCGCCUCACACCCCGAUCUGCUACGCUUCCUCGAGGCGGCGACCUGCGUCGGCCUGCUCGAUCCGGUCUCCAACAUAGUCGUCAGCGCCCUGCUUGCCGCCGCCGCAGAUCCCGUCGGCGUCGACGGGCCCAAGCUCAUGGACAUGGAGCGGCGCUCCCUCGAUGGCCUCGUCGCCUUCCUCACCUGCUUCUUCCCUUACCUCACCGACUGGGAGGCCGUCAGGUACCUUCUCCUCGCCGAAGCCGACCCCCUCGUCGCCGCGCGCAUCGUCGUCGAGGACCGCCGCACCAAGUGCUUCCGCCCAGCAUCCGUGUCCCUCCGAGCUCGCAGGCGUUUGGCUGUCCUUGUGCUCCUCCCUCGACACCCUCGAGAAGGCCGCCUCCUUGCUCUCGGCGGUGAGCACGCCGCCAAGGUGACCCACCAGUAUUCCUGGUCACUAAGGCGAGUGCUCCUAUAUACGAUCCAUGGUUUCUACCUGCAGGCGCUCGCCAGGAUGCCGGGCGGCGAGCUGCGGUCUCGUUACCACCGGAGCAUGCUCAAGGCUGGCCAUUGCUACGGCCCUUUCGAUCCUGUCACCAACAUCAUCGUCAACACCAUCUGGUACGAAGUCACAUUCCCACCACUGAGUCAACUGGACGAGCUCGACAUCCUCGGCACCUUGAACCUGAUGCGGAUUGAAGCACGCUCCUUGUAUGGACUUGUCUCUUUCCUCUGCACCCAUGACAUAGAUCUCAAUGCCGAUCAGGCCAUAAGGUUCCUGCUCGACACGGAUCUCAACUUGGCCGCGACAAAGCUGUGCAGCGGUGUUCAGGAAGAACAAGAAGCCUUCAGGGCUGCUGCAAUUGCGGCAUGGCACCCCAGACCCGAUGCCCAAGCAGGAUUCCUCUGUUCAUGCUGGAAGCCUCAAGUCCUGUCGCUGCUGACAGAUAAUGGGGGCCAACAACAGCUCUCCUCUCAGUGUGUCCAGCAGCUUGCCAUGCUCUUGUCAUCUGCUUUCAAUUCCACUGGCAUGUCAGCCCAGCAGAAGCAGCCAGUUGCCGUUUACGAACGGGCGUUCAAUCUCAGCAUGUCAGAGGGACGCAAACAGCGAAGGGAUCAUAAAAGAAUCUCCAGAAAGGUCAAGGCUGCACUAAGCAGAUAUGAGAUGCAGAAUUCGGGGCACGCCUGUUAUCAGCUUCAUGUCAUCUGCGGUGUGAACAUAUCCGUAUCUGGCCGUGACUGGAAGCGAAAAACUCGUUUUGAUGAUGACUACUACCAUCACAUACAUGCCAACUUUCUGGUGAUGCGGGAUGUUGGCUCUGUAGGUUCAGUUCCAGUACUCUUCUUUGCUGAACUUAGCAAUGACGAUGAUGGCGACAAGGAUAGCCAGCUUUUAUGUUGCCCCGUGGAUUUUCCAACACCAGGGGCUGAGCCAGUGCGCUGCCUUUUCUGCGAGCUAGAAGGGAUCAGGAUUGUGCACCCGGCUAGUGGGGAGGGAUUCCAUGGGCACGAGGUGGAGUUUGGGAAGAUGGUCCGCGGAGAAGAUCUAUAUGACAACGGCUACUACCGGGAGGUGUACAACAACGGCCGCAUUCUAAGUAAUAGCGAUUAUAUUACGAACUGGAUCCACGAUGGACUCGAGGAGGACUACAUGUACCUAGGUAGCAAUGACUUCACCAUCAAGGAAGACGACGGUCAUGAGUCGGAUGAUUAUGGAGACGAGUAG